AGCGAACGCUGGCGGCAGGCUUAACACAUGCAAGUCGAGCGGGCACUUCGGUGUCAGCGGCAGACGGGUGAGUAACACGUGGGAACGUACCCUUUGGUUCGGAAUAACGCUGGGAAACUAGCGCUAAUACCGGAUACGCCCUUUUGGGGAAAGGCUUGCUGCCGAAGGAUCGGCCCGCGUCUGAUUAGCUAGUUGGUGGGGUAAUGGCCUACCAAGGCGACGAUCAGUAGCUGGUCUGAGAGGAUGAUCAGCCACACUGAGACUGAGACACGGCCCAGACUCCUACGGGAGGCAGCAGUGGGGAAUAUUGGACAAUGGGCGCAAGCCUGAUCCAGCCAUGCCGCGUGAGUGAUGAAGGCCUUAGGGUUGUAAAGCUCUUUUGUCCGGGACGAUAAUGACGGUACCGGAAGAAUAAGCCCCGGCUAACUUCGUG
RNAcentral lists this ribosomal RNA (433 nucleotides) under uncultured bacterium. Its description in RNAcentral is "partial 16S ribosomal RNA". It matches the Rfam family "Bacterial small subunit ribosomal RNA", at positions 29 to 507 of the family's 1533-position model. The record is from RNAcentral.